This 775-nucleotide ribosomal RNA is filed under the name uncultured Prevotellaceae bacterium. Its description in RNAcentral is "bacterial SSU rRNA". It matches the Rfam family "Bacterial small subunit ribosomal RNA", at positions 713 to 1502 of the family's 1533-position model. The record is from RNAcentral. Lineage: Bacteria; Pseudomonadati; Bacteroidota; Bacteroidia; Bacteroidales; Prevotellaceae.
UCGCGAAGGCAGGUGUCCGGGGUGCAACUGACGCUGAGGCUCGAAAGUGUGGGUAUCAAACAGGAUUAGAUACCCUGGUAGUCCACACAGUAAACGAUGUAUACUCGCGGUUUGCGAUAGAUAGUAAGCCGCCAAGGGAAACCAUUAAGUAUACCACCUGGGGAGUACGCCGGCAACGGUGAAACUCAAAGGAAUUGACGGGGGCCCGCACAAGCGGAGGAACAUGUGGUUUAAUUCGAUGAUACGCGAGGAACCUUACCCGGGCUUGAACUAGCUCCGACAGCUCAAGAGAUUGAGUAUUCUUCGGACGGAGUUAGAGGUGCUGCAUGGUUGUCGUCAGCUCGUGCCGUGAGGUGUCGGCUUAAGUGCCAUAACGAGCGCAACCCUUCUCCUCGGUUGCCAUCAGGUGAUGCUGGGCACUCCGUGGACACUGCCAUCGUAAGAUGUGAGGAAGGUGGGGAUGACGUCAAAUCAGCACGGCCCUUACGUCCGGGGCUACACACGUGUUACAAUGGGCGGUACAGAGGGUCGCUACCCAGUGAUGGGAUGCAAAUCUUAAAAACCGUUCUCAGUUCGGAUUGGAGUCUGCAACCCGACUCCAUGAAGCUGGAUUCGCUAGUAAUCGCGCAUCAGCCAUGGCGCGGUGAAUACGUUCCCGGGCCUUGUACACACCGCCCGUCAAGCCAUGAAAGCCGGGGGUGCCUGAAAGCUGUGACCGCGAGGGACGGCCUAGGGUAAAACUGGUGAUUGGGGCUAAGUCGUAACAAGGUAGCCG